UACGUAGGGUGCAAGCGUUGUCCGGAAUUAUUGGGCGUAGAGAGCUCGUAGGCGGUUCGUCGCGUCGGCUGUGAAAACCUGAGGCUCAACCUCAGGCCUGCAGUCGAUACGGGCGGACUUGAGUACUGCAGGGGAGACUGGAAUUCCUGGUGUAGCGGUGAAAUGCGCAGAUAUCAGGAGGAACACCGGUGGCGAAGGCGGGUCUCUGGGCAGUAACUGACGCUGAGGAGCGAAAGCGUGGGGAGCGAACAGG
RNAcentral lists this ribosomal RNA (253 nucleotides) under uncultured bacterium. RNAcentral's name for it is "partial 16S ribosomal RNA". It matches the Rfam family "Bacterial small subunit ribosomal RNA", at positions 524 to 776 of the family's 1533-position model. The record is from RNAcentral.